GUCAGAUGAUUUGAAUCCUACCUCCUGAGGCUCUGUGAGGACCAGCAUUCUUAUAGCAUGUUAGAGUUCUGAUGGCA
Sarcophilus harrisii (Tasmanian devil) is the source of this 77-nucleotide small nucleolar RNA. Its record names the gene SNORD28. It matches the Rfam family "Small nucleolar RNA SNORD28". Rfam says of the family: U28 is a member of the C/D class of snoRNA which contain the C (UGAUGA) and D (CUGA) box motifs. U28 is encoded within the U22 snoRNA host gene (UHG) in mammals and is thought to act as a 2'-O-ribose methylation guide for ribosomal RNA. NCBI's taxonomy places the organism in Eukaryota, Metazoa, Chordata, Mammalia, Dasyuromorphia, Dasyuridae. The record is from Ensembl.